Mastomys coucha (southern multimammate mouse) is the source of this 1102-nucleotide long non-coding RNA. RefSeq lists it as uncharacterized. The record is from RefSeq and is a predicted model, not a curated record. Lineage: Eukaryota; Metazoa; Chordata; Mammalia; Rodentia; Muridae. The transcript is spliced from 4 exons.
CUGACCAGUGCAAUCAACAGGUCUGCACUCCUGUAGGACCUGUCCAUCGUCCUCCAGCUUGAUUUCAGCUCUUCUGCAGUGUAUCUGUGUUGUUGACUGAGACUGCUUGGGUGGCAACAAAGUUCUGCAGCUAGACAGUGGUGAUGGUUGCAACAACCUUGAGAAUUUACUUAUGUCACUGAAUUGUACACUUUAAAUUGAUUACAAUGAGGCCUGCUCUUUUCUGAAGAGGAAAUGGAGUGGGAAUGGAUUUUGGAAACCUAAACAUAUUUGGGGAGAGGAAGCUCAAUUGAAAAAAGACCUCCAUUAGAUUGCCUGUCUGCAAGCUUGUGGACCAUUAUCUUGGUAAGUGACUGAUUGGGUCUUUAAUUUAUUUUGUUUUAUAUAUGACAAGAAAUGAGGUUCUAUUUUCAUUUUUCUGCAUGUUAAUAUCUGAUUUUUUCCAGCACCCAGAUUGAAAAGACUAUCACAUAAAACAUUUAACUAUAUUUUUUCAUUUCUCUCUCUCUCCUCUGUGUGUGUGUGUGUGUGUGUGUAUCUUUGAGGGAGGUGCAUGUGGAGGCCAGAGGACAACUUUCAGGAGUCAGUUCUCUCCAUGUAUCUCCAUGUAUCCUGGGAUCAUCAGGGUUGACAAAUAGAGUGCCUUUGCCUGCUGACCCACCUUGACAGCCCAUGUGUUCAUUUUGUAUUGUGUGUUCUUAGAAACUCUGUAAAAAUUCAGUUGGCUACAGAUGCAUAGAUUUCAUUCAAGAUUUUCUUUUAAUCCAUUCCAUGCAUCUGUUUUGAUGCCACCAUAAUGUAAUUUUGGUAACUGUAGGUUUAUGGACUACCUUUACCCAGGUAGAGAGAUAUCUUCAGUUUUGUUUGAGGGAGUGGUAUGCACAUUUUAGCUUCAGCUAACAAGUUCUUUUGUCAUUUUCAUUCAUUUUAAUUGAAAUAUAAUUAAAUUGUUUUGAAUUGUUUUGUCCCUUCAACCCCUCAUAAAUUCCCUCCCUUUAACUCUCCCAUAUACCCACACUCUCAAAAUGAUAGCCUCUUCUUCACUGAUUAUUAUUACUAAUGUUGUUAUUAGUGUGUAUAUGUGCCCAUGUGUGUUCAAGCA